GACGAACGCUGGCGGCGUGCCUAAUACAUGCAAGUAGAACGCUGAAGGAGGAGCUUGCUUCUCUGGAUGAGUUGCGAACGGGUGAGUAACGCGUAGGUAACCUACCUGGUAGCGGGGGAUAACUAUUGGAAACGAUAGCUAAUACCGCAUAAGAGUAGAUGUCGCAUGACAUUUGCUUAAAAGGUGCAAUUGCAUCACUACCAGAUGGACCUGCGUUGUAUUAGCUAGUUGGUGAGGUAACGGCUCACCAAGGCAACGAGACAUAGCCGACCUGAGAGGGGGGUCGGCCACCCUGGGACGGUGACCCGGCCCAGACUCCUACGGGAGGCAGCAGUAGGGCAUCUUCGGCAAUGGACGGAAGUCUGACCGAGAAACGCCGCGUGAGUGAAGAAGGUUUUCGGAUCGUAAAGCUCUGUUGUAAGAGAAGAACGAGUGUGAGAGUGGAAAGUUCACACUGUGACGGUAUCUUACCAGAAAGGGACGGCUAACUACGUG
RNAcentral lists this ribosomal RNA (495 nucleotides) under uncultured bacterium. RNAcentral's name for it is "partial 16S ribosomal RNA". It matches the Rfam family "Bacterial small subunit ribosomal RNA", at positions 28 to 507 of the family's 1533-position model. The record is from RNAcentral.